This 495-nucleotide ribosomal RNA is filed under the name uncultured bacterium. RNAcentral's name for it is "bacterial SSU rRNA". It matches the Rfam family "Bacterial small subunit ribosomal RNA", at positions 903 to 1397 of the family's 1533-position model. The record is from RNAcentral.
AAAGGAAUAGACGGGGACCCGCACAAGCAGCGGAGCAUGUGGUUUAAUUCGACGCUACGCGAAAAACCUUACCAGGACUUGACAUCCUUUGCAUAGCCGAGAAAUCGGUGAAAGUUUAGCAAUAAAUCAAAGUGACAGAUGGUGCAUGGUUGUCGUCAGCUCGUGUCGUGAGAUGUUCGGUUAAGUCCGUCAACGAGCGCAACCCUUGCUAAUAGUUGCCACAUUAAGUUGGGCACUCUAUUGGGACUGCCGUAGUUAAUACGGAGGAAGGUGGGGAUGACGUCAAAUCAUCAUGCCUCUUACGUUCUGGGCUACACACGUGCUACAAUGGUGACUACAAAGAGUUGCAAUAUGGUAACAUGGAGCCAAUCUCAAAAAAGUCAUCUCAAUUCGGAUUGUGGGCUGAAACCCGCCCACAUGAAGUCGGAGUUGCUAGUAAUCCCGAAUCAGCAUGUCGGGGUGAAUGCGUUCCCGGGUCUUGUACACACCGCCCGU